This 408-nucleotide ribosomal RNA is filed under the name uncultured bacterium. RNAcentral describes it as "partial 16S ribosomal RNA". It matches the Rfam family "Bacterial small subunit ribosomal RNA", at positions 28 to 526 of the family's 1533-position model. The record is from RNAcentral.
GACGAACGCUGUCGGCGUGCUUAACACAUGCAAGUCGAACGAAGUGGCGAACGGGUGAGUAACGCGUAAUCAACCUGCCCUUCAGAGGGGGACAACAGUUGGAAACGACUGCUAAUACCGCAUACGGAAGGAGGGGAUUGCGUCUGAUUAGCUAGUUGGAGGGGUAACGGCCCACCAAGGCGAUGAUCAGUAGCCGGUCUUAGAGGAUGAACGGCCACAUUGGGACUGAGACACGGCCCAGACGCCUACGGGAGGCAGCAGUGGGGAAUCUUCCGCCAUGGACGAAAGCCUGACGGAGCAACGACGUGUGAGUGAGGAGGGCCUUCGGGAUGUAAAGCUCUGUUAAUCGGGACGCGGUACCGGAAUAGAAAGCCACGGCUAACUACGUGCCAGCAGCCGCGGUAAUUC